This 332-nucleotide long non-coding RNA is filed under the name Zostera marina. RNAcentral's name for it is "long non-coding RNA (ZMAR_LNC003564)". The record is from RNAcentral. Lineage: Eukaryota; Viridiplantae; Streptophyta; Magnoliopsida; Alismatales; Zosteraceae.
GCAAAUUUCCGAGAUAAAUACCGCGAACCGAGCGAAUCAAAUAACACAUCACGUUGGUUCAAAAGGAUUAGCGCAAAGACGUCAUGAAUUGGUAAUUUAUUUAUAAUUUAUAUCUAAUUUUUUUAUAUAUUAAUGAAUUAUGUGAAUAUAGAUGUAACAAGGAAGGAGUGAAGUCGAAGCUUGGUCAGAGACUUUACAAAUGAUAUAUAAGGGAAGCGAUAAAGUUGUAAGUCUUUUUUUAAAAUUAUUUAUAUUUUAUAAUUUCUAUUAUCAUUGUUUGAUUUUGUUAUUCUUACAGCUUGAAGUCACGGAAUUUAUCAAAAGUCAAGAGG